RNAcentral lists this transfer RNA (68 nucleotides) under Pomatoschistus minutus (sand goby). Its description in RNAcentral is "tRNA-Phe". It matches the Rfam family "tRNA". From Rfam's summary of the family: Transfer RNA (tRNA) molecules are approximately 80 nucleotides in length. Their secondary structure includes four short double-helical elements and three loops (D, anti-codon, and T loops). The record is from RNAcentral. Lineage: Eukaryota; Metazoa; Chordata; Actinopteri; Gobiiformes; Gobiidae.
GCUAGCGUAGCUUAACUAAAGCAUGACACUGAAGAUGUCAAGAUGGACCCUAGAAAGUUCCGCAGGCA